Molecule: long non-coding RNA, 1793 nt
Organism: Myotis brandtii (Brandt's bat)
Lineage: Eukaryota; Metazoa; Chordata; Mammalia; Chiroptera; Vespertilionidae
Exons: 3
Source: RefSeq, a predicted model, not a curated record
GGUUUGUCCCCUGAUGACACGCGUCGUAUAGUUUGGAAAUGAGGCCAAUGUCCUGAACCAAAUUUCACACAUGUGAUGUACUAGAUGUGGGGAAAACUCUAAAUAAUAGGCAUCUUGAAGUAUUGCCCAGUUUCAUGAAAAUUAAAGUUUAAAUUCCAGAUGUAACACUGAGCAAGUGUUUCUCAAACCCAAGUGGGUUGUUAUACAGAUCUUUAAUCCAAAGAUCAUGCUUAAAACGUUAUUUAACACCUUAAUGCAUGACACUGAUUAAUGCUGCAGUCACACAGGGAUCCUCUUGUUUCAAAAUACAAGUAUCCUUGAAAUGAGAGGUCAAUGAAAUUGAGAAAAAUGCCAAGAUGACAUAGAAAGAAAGGGCUUAUUAAAAUGUUUUUGGUGACAGCUAUAUGGCAAUAUCUAAAACUGGCAUUUUUCCCCACCAGCAUUGAAUAUUUCUUUAUAAAAUAAAUAAAUAAAUAAAUAAAUAAUUUCCCUGUGAAGAUUUUUGUACAAGAAUUGCAUUUUUAAAGUCCCCUCCCCUCCCCCGGAACCAUGAAUGUUAAAUAGCUAUUACCCACACCAGAUUCUAUACCUGCACUUGGAGGCCUCUGAGCACACACACACACACACACACACACACACACACACACGUCAUACUCCCUCAGAGGGACACGGUGACUUUUCCCCAGAGGUUAGCUCAGUGGCACCCCCUCUUUCUCCAGGUCACCCCUCAGCCAUCCCCCUGACUUCAUGUUUCGCGUUCCUGAGAAUCAUCGGUCUUCCUUUUGGCUAUGUCACUCAACCGCCACCUCAUAGGAACCUUCUUCCUCUCCCCUGUGACCCUGGGAUCUUGGGCCCAGAAGCUCCCACAUUCCCUACAUGGGGGGAGAAGGAGGUGUGAAGCUCGGAUGGAAGGAACAGCCCUUGAGAGCCAGUGCUGAGGAAAGAACCUUCCAUGCCUUCCAUUGCGGCCUUUGAUGCUGUUCUUUCCUCCAGAAACAGGGAGGAAACUCGAAGUUGCGGCCGCAUCACCCGCCCAGUGGGAUGAAGAGGAGUGUUCCUUCCACCAACUGCAGUUAAAUUUCAGCAUUUCAUGUUCCUGAUGGUCGUCCAUCCUGGGUUGUUCACAAUAUCCUGCACAUGCUCUGAGGACCCAGUUAGCAGAAAUUCAUUGAAGACUACUUCAACUCCACACAGGGAGGACCAAAGAUGCUCAGAAUUUCCUGGAAUGAAGGUUUAGGUUAUGAAGCCUGAUCAGCUGGGAUGCUGAGGGCAAAGCAAACAGGAGACACGGAGAGAAGGAGGAAGUUCACAAAGAAGGAGCAUGACUCACAAUUUGUUUCAGAAAUGAUGACCCAUUGAUUUUUUUUUCUGGUUCUGUUAUAGGCUAAUUUAUUAUUUUUUUCUGUAUGGCGUGCCUGUCUUAUAUCAGGUGGGUCAUUGGUAGGUAAGUUACAAUUUAGUCCUUAGUCAUAAGGUAUCAAGUAGUGGUCAUGGCUGAAGCAUAAGAUAAACAGUUAGAAAUCAAAAACUAUGAAACACACUCUUAAAUUUGCAAACUGGAAUGAUAUAUUUAAUUAGACAUCAUCUGUAACAGAAUUAUACACUGGGCAGUAAUCAUUAUGAAUUGUGAGGAGCAAGGAAGUCAGUAUAAUCUAAUUCACUUCCAUAAUUAAAGGAAGUACCCAGAGGGCUUGAACAACGGUGAUAAAUUCAAUACUUCUCGAUACAGCCAUUCACAAAGCUUUUAUUUCUGUACCAUAUACUAGUCUCUGUUAAAUGGGAAAAGGGUAAUA